This 468-nucleotide ribosomal RNA is filed under the name uncultured bacterium. Its description in RNAcentral is "partial 16S ribosomal RNA". It matches the Rfam family "Bacterial small subunit ribosomal RNA", at positions 28 to 507 of the family's 1533-position model. The record is from RNAcentral.
GACGAACGCUGGCGGCGUGCUUAACACAUGCAAGUCGAACGGAAAGGCCCUGCUUUUGUGUGGUGCUCGAGUGGCGAACGGGUGAGUAACACGUGUGUAACCUGCCCUUGUCUUUGGGAUAACUUCAGGAAACUGGGGCUAAUACCCGAUAGGAGCUCCUGCUGCAUGGUGGGGAUUGGAAAGUUUCGGCGGUUGGGGAUGGACUCGCGGCUUAUCAGCUUGUUGGUGGGGUAGUGGCUUACCAAGGCUUUGACGGGUAGCCGGCCUGAGAGGGUGACCGGCCACAUUGGGACUGAGAUACGGCCCAGACUCCUACGGGAGGCAGCAGUGGGGAAUAUUGCACAAUGGGCGGAAGCCUGAUGCAGCAACGCCGCGUGCGGGAUGACGGCCUUCGGGUUGUAAACCGCUUUCGCCUGUGACGAAGCGUGAGUGACGGUAAUGGGUAAAGAAGCACCGGCUAACUACGUG